This 497-nucleotide ribosomal RNA is filed under the name uncultured bacterium. Its description in RNAcentral is "partial 16S ribosomal RNA". It matches the Rfam family "Bacterial small subunit ribosomal RNA", at positions 28 to 507 of the family's 1533-position model. The record is from RNAcentral.
GAUGAACGCUGGCGGCGUGCCUAAUACAUGCAAGUCGAGCGAACGGACGAGAAGCUUGCUUCUCUGAUGUUAGCGGCGGACGGGUGAGUAACACGUGGAUAACCUACCUAUAAGACUGGGAUAACUUCGGGAAACCGGAGCUAAUACCGGAUGAUAUUUUGAACCGCAUGGUUCAAAAGUGAAAGACGGUCUUGCUGUCACUUAUAGAUGGAUCCGCGCUGCAUUAGCUAGUUGGUAAGGUAACAGCUUACCAAGGCAACGAUGCAUAGCCGACCUGAGAGGGUGAUCGGCCACACUGGAACUGAGACACGGUCCAGACUCCUACGGGAGGCAGCAGUAGGGAAUCUUCCACAAUGGGCGAAAGCCUGACGGAGCAACGCCGCGUGAGUGAUGAAGGUCUUCGGAUCGUAAAACUCUGUUAUUAGGGAAGAACAUAUGUGUAAGUAACUGUGCACAUCUUGACGGUACCUAAUCAGAAAGCCACGGCUAACUACGUG